AGGAAGGGCGCGCGGGCGGGGUCGCGAGGCGGCUGCAGCUCCGGCUGAUCCGAGAGUCCAGCUUCGCGCGCAGAGAAAACUGGCUCGCGGCUGCAGGCUCGGGGCGGUCCGGAAAUCCGAAGGUUGAAAGCGGGGGCGCAGGCGUCAGCGUCUAGUAGACCGAACGCGGCGCUGUCGUGAUAGCGCUUUACUGCAGUGGGCACAGCGGCGCUUUGCGGCGGUCGGAUGGCCGCCCGAAGGGGACGGCGUUUCACCGCGGGCGGUAACGGUCUCAAUUUGACCUGGCUACCUGCGGAGGUCGGGAAGAGUUAUUCUGAGGGCGCGAGGAAGAGACAGCGGUACGGGAAGGAAGGCAUCCGAGCUGGCUGUGGAGGAUGUGCUUUUUCGGCUAAACUCCCAGCUAGAGAGCCUGAGGGCUGAUGGUGGAGAAUGCAGCACUUCACAGUGAGUCUGUGGCUGGGCUACCGAGCAGCAAUUGAGAAGGACCUGGCUGCUGGGACCUCUGAGUCCCCAGUCUAGUGGUGUUUAGUGUAAGGCUGAGAUUCCCAUGAGGGGCUCUCAGCCCAUCUAGUGAUUUUGAAAAAGAAAACAGAACAAAACUGAAAGGCACUUUGAGAACCAAAGAAUCAACACAAGCCUAGGCAGUCACUUUGUAGCCUUUGUGUGUGCAUGUGUGUUUCUGGUACUGGAAAUAGAA
RNAcentral lists this long non-coding RNA (697 nucleotides) under Fukomys damarensis (Damara mole-rat). Its description in RNAcentral is "lncRNA (ENSFDAG00000022325.1)". Lineage: Eukaryota; Metazoa; Chordata; Mammalia; Rodentia; Bathyergidae. The record is from RNAcentral.